AGAACGAACGCUGGUGGCAGGCUUAACACAUGCAAGUCGAACGCACUCUUCGGAGUGAGUGGCAGACGGGUGAGUAACGCGUGGGAACGUACCCUUUGGUUCGGGAUAACCCGGGGAAACUCGGGCUAAUACCGGAUAAGCCGGAAACGGGAAAGGUUUACUGCCGAAGGAUCGGCCCGCGUCGGAUUAGCUAGUUGGUGUGGUAACGGCGCACCAAGGCGACGAUCCGUAGCUGGUCUGAGAGGAUGAUCAGCCAGACUGGGACUGAGAACGGCCCAGACUCCUACGGGAGGCAGCAGUCGGGAAUUUUGCCCAAUGGACGAAAGUCUGAGGCAGCAACUCCGCGUGAGGGACGAAGGCCUUCGGGCCGUAAACCUCUUUUCUCAGGGAAGAUACAAGACGGUACCUGAGGAAUAAGCCACGGCUAACUACGUGCCAGCAGCCGC
RNAcentral lists this ribosomal RNA (446 nucleotides) under uncultured bacterium. RNAcentral describes it as "SSU rRNA". It matches the Rfam family "Bacterial small subunit ribosomal RNA", at positions 26 to 518 of the family's 1533-position model. The record is from RNAcentral.